This 345-nucleotide ribosomal RNA is filed under the name uncultured bacterium. Its description in RNAcentral is "partial 16S ribosomal RNA". It matches the Rfam family "Bacterial small subunit ribosomal RNA", at positions 338 to 675 of the family's 1533-position model. The record is from RNAcentral.
CCUACGGGAGGCAGCAGUAGGGAAUCUUCCACAAUGGGCGAAAGCCUGAUGGAGCAACGCCGCGUGGGUGAAGAAGGUCUUCGGAUCGUAAAACCCUGUUGUUAGAGAAGAAAGUGCGUGAGAGUAACUGUUCACGUUUCGACGGUAUCUAACCAGAAAGCCACGGCUAACUACGUGCCAGCAGCCGCGGUAAUACGUAGGUGGCAAGCGUUAUCCGGAUUUAUUGGGCGUAAAGGGAACGCAGGCGGUCUUUUAAGUCUGAUGUGAAAGCCUUCGGCUUAACCGGAGUAGUGCAUUGGAAAACUGGAGAACUGAGUGCAGGAGAGGAGAGUGGAACUUCAUGUG